GCUCCCCGCCGCUUGUCCCGCCAGCCCGAGGCAUGGAGCCCCACGGCCCAGGACUGGAGAGCCCAGUUCGUCAGUCCAGGUUGGGACUGCUGGUUCCGGGUUGCUCACGAUCACUCUCCCCUCAACACCCGUCCGGCCAGGGCGCGCGCGCAGACACAUAAACACACACGGCUUCCAAGCGCGCAGCCCGCCUCCCGGGCCUCCGCUUUUCCUUCCUCCUCCCCGCUCGGGCGCUUCGGAAGCCCGUGGCGGUUGUGUGCUGCGCCAGGGAAGAGUCCGGGUCGGGGAGACCGCGCUGCCCUCUUUCCCCCCAAGCUCGCGAAACCCCAUGGAUCCGCGGCUGGGCUGGGCAGCGCAGACGCCCAGCUGCCCUCGCCAACCCCAGGCCCAGAGGGGGCCAGGCUGGCCUGGGGGCUGGGCGGCCCGGCUGCACUUGCCGGCGUUGAGAGAGGCUCUGUGAGCCGGAGCCGGCCGCCGAGCCGAGGGAGAGAGCGCAUCAGCCCGCGCGCCUUAAGGCAGAACACACGCCUUUCCCGGAACCUUGAAACCCAGGGGAGCCGCUGCCAUCUUCGCGUGACGAGCAGCGAGACGCCGGUGAUUAAGUGUUUCUUUCCGGCUCCCUCUCCGGGUUGCGGCUCUCCUCCUUUCCACAGGGCUGGAAGAAUAAAAACCUGGGGAAAAACCA
This 685-nucleotide long non-coding RNA is filed under the name Homo sapiens (human). RNAcentral's name for it is "HSALNT0281723". Lineage: Eukaryota; Metazoa; Chordata; Mammalia; Primates; Hominidae. The record is from RNAcentral.